UACGUAGGGUGCGAGCGUUGUCCGGAAUUAUUGGGCGUAAAGAGCUCGUAGGCGGUCUGUCGCGUCUGGUGUGAAAAUCCAGGGCUUAACCCUGGACCUGCAUCGGGUACGGGCAGACUAGAGUGCGGUAGGGGAGAUCGGAAUUCCUGGUGUAGCGGUGAAAUGCGCAGAUAUCAGGAGGAACACCGGUGGCGAAGGCGGAUCUCUGGGCCGUAACUGACGCUGAGGAGCGAAAGCAUGGGGAGCGAACAGG
RNAcentral lists this ribosomal RNA (253 nucleotides) under uncultured bacterium. RNAcentral describes it as "partial 16S ribosomal RNA". It matches the Rfam family "Bacterial small subunit ribosomal RNA", at positions 524 to 776 of the family's 1533-position model. The record is from RNAcentral.